RNAcentral lists this ribosomal RNA (617 nucleotides) under uncultured bacterium. Its description in RNAcentral is "bacterial SSU rRNA". It matches the Rfam family "Bacterial small subunit ribosomal RNA", at positions 57 to 655 of the family's 1533-position model. The record is from RNAcentral.
GCAAGUCGAGCGAGAAGGGAGCAAUCCCUGUAAAGCGGCGCACGGGUGAGUAACACGUAGGUAAUCUACCUCGAGGUGGUGGAUAACCUUCCGAAAGGAGGGCUAAUACAGCAUGAGACCACGUCUUCGAAAGAGGAUGAGGUAAAAGCGGGCCUCUCUACAGAAGCUCGCGCCACGGGAUGAGCCUGCGGCCCAUCAUGGUAGUUGGUAGGGUAAUGGCCUACCAAGCCGAAGACGGGUAGCUGGUCUGAGAGGAUGAUCAGCCACACUGGAACUGAGACACGGUCCAGACUCCUACGGGAGGCAGCAGUGGGGAAUCUUGCGCAAUGGGCGAAAGCCUGACGCAGCGACGCCGCGUGAGUGAUGAAGGCCUUCGGGUUGUAAAGCUCUGUGGAGGGGGACGAAUAAGGGUCGGCGAACAGCCGGCUCGAUGACGGUACCCCUUUAGCAAGCACCGGCUAACUCUGUGCCAGCAGCCGCGGUAAGACAGAGGGUGCAAACGUUGUUCGGAAUUACUGGGCGUAAAGCGCGUGUAGGCUGCUCGGGAAGUCGGGUGUGAAAGCCCUGGGCUCAACCUAGGAAGUGCACUCGAAACUUCCGAGCUGGAGUGCUGGAGA